Molecule: long non-coding RNA, 2434 nt
Filed under: Fukomys damarensis (Damara mole-rat)
Lineage: Eukaryota; Metazoa; Chordata; Mammalia; Rodentia; Bathyergidae
Description: lncRNA (ENSFDAG00000027584.1)
Source: RNAcentral
GCGCGGCACACAAAACAGACAAAACUAAAUCAAUAAAUAAAAGAUGGAGGGUCAAGUAAAGGGCAGCGACAAAUCUAGGAAGAUAGAUGAAGUCAGGCGGGAGAUGAUCCUGAGCAUGAAGAAGGGGCAAAGGACUCAGGGACGGCCUUUCUGGAGGCGGUGGUGUGGAGGGGACGCUGUUGGAAUGAAGGAACGACCCACAAAGCUGUCUAGGAAGAGUGGGACGGGCAGCGGAGAAGGAGAAAGAGUGCGUCACAGAAAGAGCCUGGCACAUAAUAGGUGCACAAGAAGAAUUCAGAACGAGGCGCCCUUUCCCUACUUUACCAAAUGGAAAAGGUUUCUAGGUUCCUGCUGCUCCUCGACUGGGGCCACCUCCUCGACUGCCGGCCUCACUUCUUAUCCCACCCUCUCCUAUCCUGGAAGAUGGGUUCUGGUGAAGGUGGCAACUCUUUGGCAGGAGGAGAAGGGGAGCUUCCACCCAAGAGGCUGUGCGAUGCAGUGGGAGCCUGGCACACAGAGGGGGACUCCUGAGCCAAGACUCCUGCCAGCCGUAGGCCAUGGGAUGCCGGAAAGCCAGAAUAACGGGGCCACCUUCCCUGUGAAGACCGACAUCGGAUGGCGCCCUGCAGCCUCCUUGGGUGGCUUCUGCAUCUGCAGCACGAAGCCCACAGCCCUUUCCAAGACACCUGAGGCCUCUGCAUCUCCUUCCCAAUGUGCCCUCUUUCUCACCUCCUCUCUGCCAGCUGAUCAGCUGAGGCCCUGCGAGAGUGACCUUGGUGUGGCAGCCAGGGGCCCGCCCUCCUCCAGGGGUUCACGCGGAGGGGAUGCAGCAGCCUACAGGCCAAGGACUCCUCCUCGGAGAGCCCGUAUCUGCUCAUGUUCCCAAGAUUCCCCGCCAAGCUACACUUCAUCGCAGCUCCCUGUAUAAUUCCUUCUGAGCUCUGUGCCCUUAUAAAAUAUUCUUUCCUUUUUCCAUUCAUUCAACAGCAGUGAUGGGCACAGCACAGGGAUCUCAGCAGCUACAAAAACUUUAGUAAUAUAAGGGUUGUCUGUGCUGCUGAUGUCUUCCUUCAUGCAUAAAAAAGAAAAUGAAAGGACUAAAUACCUAUGGGAAAGCUACAGCCCUACUCAGGGACAUUUCCACAAAGACCACCUGAAAUAGGAAUGUCCUUUCUCAAGUGGAAGCUGUGGUCUGUCCCUCAGUGUAAUUUCACAAAUGCACAGCUAAUGCCUUCUGUAGCUCAGGACGCAUCCUAAGCCACUUUACGUGCAGCCUCUCAGACCACAAACAAAGGAAAAGCCAUUACCAUCCUCAGAUCACAGACAAAUGAGGCAAAAGCGGUGUAACUUCCCCGAGAUCAAAAGAGAUCACAAGUGCUGGAGACAAGACUAGCUUCCUUGAGAACCCUCAGCCUGUCAUGGUUAGCAGGCUGAGCGCGCUCAAUAAUACUGCAGCACCGAGGAUUCCAAUCACCUUUUUUCCUUUCAUCGCCAGCAGGUGGCGCCAAUAACCUGCCCAGCUGUGCACCUGCUCCAGGAAGGUUUGGUCUAGAUGAGAAGGGAACCUACACCCGCUCAGGAGGAAGUUUCCUUCUGGGAUCCAAGCAGGGGGAGCAUGCGGGGAGACAGAUGCUGGGUGAGCCUGGUUCUGCCAAAAAAUAACUUCUUCAUUGAGUCCACCGGAUUACAAAAUAGUCAUGCCCAGUUGCUUCUGGGUUAUACAAUAAAUCAGAUCAUUUUCCCUUGGGGGGGGCCCAAGUCCCCCAAGUUUUAAAUGACCUAGAGCCUACCAGUGCCAGAGAAAAACCAACAACUUCAAAUAAGCAUAUAGGCAACUAUUUGGAAUCUCAAAACUAACAAGCGGGGAGCUGGGGUCUAACCAAGGCUCAGCAGGCCACACAGUGCGUGGGUUUUCUAGCAAGCCACAGUUCUCGCUGGUGAGGUGCAUGGCUACCCCAUGCACGUGCUGGGGUAGAGUGGAGGUGACACGGUCUUCCACCAGGAGGUUCCAUUCUACCAGGAAGAGGGGAACACAGACAUCAUUCGGGGUGGAAGGGCUCUGCUAAGAUCAGCCCCAGAGGAAAUGCCAUAAAAUGUGCCCUCUUCACAGAGGAACCUGGACCUCAGUGCUCACUGUGUCCCCGCACCUGGCACAGGGCCUGGUGCACUUUGAUCCUCAUGUAUGUGUGGCCAGCGGGCCAUGGGCCCAGGACGGAAGCCAUGGUGACAGAGGCGGGCCUUCCUGAAGAGAUGGGCCUGGGUGGCUUUGAGGAUGAGGUAGGAGUUUACAGGUAGAAGAGAGGGGAAAGGUGUUCCAGGCAUAGGGAAGGGUGACAGAGUGCAGCAGUAUUCUCUCAAUUUCUGUUCAAUCACAACCCGUAGGCCCACACCCCAGUGUGCACACCCACGCACACAUACGCACACAUAGCUGGAG